CCCCCCCGCUCCUGGGUGCUGCGCCCGAGCGCCGGGCCUCAGGUCCACCUUAUGACCUCCCUUUUCGUGCUUUCUACUGUCCCCCCUUUCCAGAUUAGAUGGCCUAGACCCUUCAGUGCUCCUCGUGGGACUUGGUUUCAGAAUUGGCUAUCGAAAAUAUCCAACCUGAUGUGAAGAUGAUUUUGAAGACAAAAUUUUUGACAUCGAAUUCACAAGAGAGGUGACAAUCAACUCUGAUAUAUAGCCAAUUCUUAAG
Molecule: long non-coding RNA, 256 nt
Filed under: Cavia porcellus (domestic guinea pig)
Lineage: Eukaryota; Metazoa; Chordata; Mammalia; Rodentia; Caviidae
Description: lncRNA (ENSCPOG00000032200.1)
Source: RNAcentral